GCGCUCAUAGUUUAAGGGAUAGAACGGCAGUUUGCGGAACUGCUAGUCCAGGUUCGAGUCCUGGUGGGCGCACCA
RNAcentral lists this transfer RNA (75 nucleotides) under Candidatus Pacebacteria bacterium RIFOXYA1_FULL_38_18. RNAcentral describes it as "tRNA-Arg". It matches the Rfam family "tRNA". From Rfam's summary of the family: Transfer RNA (tRNA) molecules are approximately 80 nucleotides in length. Their secondary structure includes four short double-helical elements and three loops (D, anti-codon, and T loops). Further hydrogen bonds mediate the characteristic L-shaped molecular structure. tRNAs have two regions of fundamental functional importance: the anti-codon, which is responsible for specific mRNA codon recognition, and the 3' end, to which the tRNAs corresponding amino acid is attached (by aminoacyl-tRNA synthetases). tRNAs cope with the degeneracy of the genetic code in two manners: having more than one tRNA (with a specific anti-codon) for a particular amino acid; and 'wobble' base-pairing, i.e. permitting non-standard base-pairing at the 3rd anti-codon position. The record is from RNAcentral. RNAcentral also lists the same sequence under 3 other names. Lineage: Bacteria; Bacillati; Minisyncoccota.